Pectinophora gossypiella (pink bollworm) is the source of this 336-nucleotide long non-coding RNA. RefSeq lists it as uncharacterized. The transcript is spliced from 3 exons. The record is from RefSeq and is a predicted model, not a curated record. Lineage: Eukaryota; Metazoa; Arthropoda; Insecta; Lepidoptera; Gelechiidae.
AUGGAAAGAAACUUUUAUUUAUAUCAAAUAAUUGAGUGUCUCGACUGUGUGACAUUAUGUCUUGUGUGGUAUGGGGCUGCAGCUCACAUUCAGGAAGAAAAGAAAAUAGCCAACAACUUCUGUCGUUUCAUCGAUAUUAAAUCCAAAAGUGUCGACUGGAUUUACAUGAAAAGUCAGUUCAAGAAGACGAGAUGAAAAAUUUAAAAGAAAAGCUGAACAAGUCCCGCCUCAAGAUCAAACGACUUAAUGAAAAAAAAAAACAAUGUGACAGGGUGUCACAAAGACAGUUUCUAAGCAAAUUGACACUGUUUAGAAAUUAAUAAAUUUGUAUUUAUU